UAUCGUGCUAGUGCAUGAGACUAGAGAAAAAGUUAACACAAAGUUGGAGAUUUGGAGAAAAGCACUUGAAUCUAAAGGAUUUCGGAUAAGCAGAACUAAGGCAGAGUACAUAGAGUGUAAAUUUAGUAAUAGCAACAAUGAAAGUAGAGGAGAAGUGAAGAUUGAGAAACAAGAACUGCCUAAGAGUGAACAUUUUCAUUAUUUAGGGUCAAUUAUCGCAACGACGGGGGAGAUUGAUGCAGAUG
Molecule: small RNA, 245 nt
Filed under: Camellia sinensis
Lineage: Eukaryota; Viridiplantae; Streptophyta; Magnoliopsida; Ericales; Theaceae
Description: transcribed RNA
Source: RNAcentral